UACGAAGGGGGCUAGCGUUGCUCGGAAUCACUGGGCGUAAAGCGCACGUAGGCGGUUUGUUAAGUCGGAUGUGAAAUCCCUCGGCUCAACUGAGGAAGUGCAUCCGAAACUGGCAAGCUUGAGUACGAAAGAGGAUCGCGGAAUUCCCGGUGUAGAGGUGAAAUUCGUAGAUAUCGGGAGGAACACCGGUGGCGAAGGCGGCGAUCUGGGUCGAUACUGACGCUGAGGUGCGAAAGCGUGGGGAGCAAACAGG
This 253-nucleotide ribosomal RNA is filed under the name uncultured bacterium. Its description in RNAcentral is "partial 16S ribosomal RNA". It matches the Rfam family "Bacterial small subunit ribosomal RNA", at positions 524 to 776 of the family's 1533-position model. The record is from RNAcentral.